UGAACUCAUUCCAUUUGUAACUAUCAUGGGACAACAUGGCCACAACUCAUAAUGUAUAACUGUAAGUGGGUAACAUUGUAUCAAUAACCUACUGUUCUUAAGACGUGAAUACAUAUGGGCCGUCAAGGCCUCUGACAUGCUGUACAAACUGAACCUCUAUCUACAAAGCCUCUAAGAUUAUUUGACAUCAAAUGGGACAGGGUACCGGCCUACCCAUAAGUCUGAAGCAAAACUCUAAUAUGAUGACUCAUAAAUUCGGCUACACUCAAAAUGAGGUGGAGUCUUACCAAUCAUUCGUUGAAUGCUAACCUCGUCUACUAUGGGGGCUCAUCAAAUUAAUUACUUAUACCUGCAGGCAUGAAUGCACCGUCCAAAACAAAAGGACGUCAGUACAAAUAAUGUAUCAAGUAUGUAAGGCAUGUAAAUCAAUACAUAAAGAAGAUGAAAGAAACAUGGAUUACAUGACUCAACAUGUAAGUCUAGAUAACUCUGUAUAUCAUUUAAUACUUACAGUGUCAUAGCAUGAAUAUCAUAUCGUGCAUAGGUACAUGUGUUCAUAACAUCAUCAAGCCUAUGAGGGCAUCCCGUUAUAUCAUCUCAGCCAUUGUGGGCAAAACCAUCAUCGUAUACCAGCUGAUCAGGUGGUGGUGCGUAUAUAACGCCACAACCUUUCGCAUAUCCCAUAUACAUAUACAUAUAUAUAUACAUAUACAUAUACAUAUACACA
RNAcentral lists this long non-coding RNA (727 nucleotides) under Nicotiana tabacum (common tobacco). RNAcentral describes it as "long non-coding RNA (NTAB_LNC001140)". The record is from RNAcentral. Lineage: Eukaryota; Viridiplantae; Streptophyta; Magnoliopsida; Solanales; Solanaceae.